AAGGAUCAUUACCGAGUUAGGGUCUUCUGGGCCCGACCUCCUACCCUCUGUCUACCUUACCAUUUGUUGCUUCGGCGGAUCCGUCCUCUAGGGGACCGCCGGAGGGUUCACCCCCUCUGGCCCGCGUCCGUCGGUAGCCCACCAAAACUCUUGUUCAAAACGUGUCGUCUAAGCAAAAAAUCAAAUAAGUAAAAACUUUCAACAACGGAUCUCUUGGUUCUG
Molecule: unclassified non-coding RNA, 222 nt
Filed under: uncultured fungus
Lineage: Eukaryota; Fungi
Description: partial contains 18S rRNA, ITS1, 5.8S rRNA, ITS2 and 28S rRNA
Source: RNAcentral